Molecule: ribosomal RNA, 1025 nt
Filed under: Bacillus licheniformis
Lineage: Bacteria; Bacillati; Bacillota; Bacilli; Caryophanales; Bacillaceae
Description: bacterial SSU rRNA
Rfam family: Bacterial small subunit ribosomal RNA (bases 509-1025)
Source: RNAcentral
GCGGUGCGGGGUGCUAUACAUGCAAGUCGAGCGGACCGACGGGAGCUUGCUCCCUUAGGUCAGCGGCGGACGGGUGAGUAACACGUGGGUAACCUGCCUGUAAGACUGGGAUAACUCCGGGAAACCGGGGCUAAUACCGGAUGCUUGAUUGAACCGCAUGGUUCAAUCAUAAAAGGUGGCUUUUAGCUACCACUUACAGAUGGACCCGCGGCGCAUUAGCUAGUUGGUGAGGUAACGGCUCACCAAGGCGACGAUGCGUAGCCGACCUGAGAGGGUGAUCGGCCACACUGGGACUGAGACACGGCCCAGACUCCUACGGGAGGCAGCAGUAGGGAAUCUUCCGCAAUGGACGAAAGUCUGACGGAGCAACGCCGCGUGAGUGAUGAAGGUUUUCGGAUCGUAAAACUCUGUUGUUAGGGAAGAACAAGUACCGUUCGAAUAGGGCGGUACCUUGACGGUACCUAACCAGAAAGCCACGGCUAACUACGUGCCAGCCGCGGGGGUAAAUAACAAUAAGAGUUUUGAUCUGGCUCAGGACGAACGCUGGCGGCGUGCCUAAUACAUGCAAGUCGAGCGGACCGACGGGAGCUUGCUCCCUUAGGUCAGCGGCGGACGGGUGAGUAACACGUGGGUAACCUGCCUGUAAGACUGGGAUAACUCCGGGAAACCGGGGCUAAUACCGGAUGCUUGAUUGAACCGCAUGGUUCAAUCAUAAAAGGUGGCUUUUAGCUACCACUUACAGAUGGACCCGCGGCGCAUUAGCUAGUUGGUGAGGUAACGGCUCACCAAGGCGACGAUGCGUAGCCGACCUGAGAGGGUGAUCGGCCACACUGGGACUGAGACACGGCCCAGACUCCUACGGGAGGCAGCAGUAGGGAAUCUUCCGCAAUGGACGAAAGUCUGACGGAGCAACGCCGCGUGAGUGAUGAAGGUUUUCGGAUCGUAAAACUCUGUUGUUAGGGAAGAACAAGUACCGUUCGAAUAGGGCGGUACCUGACGGUACUAAACCAAGAAAGGCAAAAAGC